Molecule: long non-coding RNA, 635 nt
Filed under: Phascolarctos cinereus (koala)
Lineage: Eukaryota; Metazoa; Chordata; Mammalia; Diprotodontia; Phascolarctidae
Description: lncRNA (ENSPCIG00000033031.1)
Source: RNAcentral
GAAUGCUGACUAUUUGACAAACCAGAGAAAUGCACCUUUGACUGCAAGACUGUUAAAUUCCUGGCCCAGCUAUCUUCCCGGAAGGACUUCAAAUGGACCUUUACAAGUUAUCUACAAUGAUAGACUAAGAACAACCUACCAAGGGCUGAAUUGUAACCACAGGUGCUGCGACAAAGAACACUUUAAAGAUGCAUAAAAGUCUGUUUAAAGUGAAGAGAAAGAACUGGAUAAAAUAAUGAGGUGGCUAUCCAGUUUAUGGAAUUGAGGCAGGAAUUCAACAAAGGUAACCAGAAAACAUGAAACUGUAAACUUUAAAAAUUUUCUUUAAAAGAUAAUGUAUAUAGGUUGAGUUUCUUUUGUCACUUUUGUGAAGGUGAAACUUCCUAUUUUACCAUCUUGAUGUAACUAAACUCCCUAGGUACCUAAGGUCAGAAGCUCUCUGUCUCGAUGCUGUGUGGCAGAGGGGUCAGUCUCAAGUUCUGUCCUGUUUCUUGCCACUGUUCAUGCUUGACCCUGCGGUGGCUUUAAAUUGCCUCUGCUUCUUAUUCUCCCUAUAAAAGAACUAACUCCUAACUUUGAUACUUUGAUUCCAUUACUCCAAUAAAUUUCCCUGAAUUUGUUUUGCUUGGUUAUAC